CCUACGGGCGGCAGCAGUGGGGAAUAUUGGACAAUGGGGGAAACCCUGAUCCAGCGACGCCGCGUGAGUGAAGAAGUAUUUCGGUACGUAAAGCUCUAUCAGCAGGAAAGAAAAUGACGGUACCUGACUAAGAAGCCCCGGCUAACUCCGUGCCAGCAGCCGCGGUAAUACGUAGGGGGCAAGCGUUAUACGGAUUUACUGGGUGUAAAGGGAGCGUAGACGGCAGCGCAAGUCUGGAGUGAAAUGCCGGGGCCCAACCCCGGAACUGCGCUUGAAACUGUUACGCUGGAGUGUAGGAGAGGUAAGUGGAAUUCCUGGUGUAGCGGUGAAAUGCGUAGAUAUCAGGAGGAAUACUGGCGGCGAAGGCGGCCUACUGGACCGUAACUGACGUUGAGGCUCGAAGGCGUGGGGAGCAAACAGGAUUAGAUACCCUAGUAGUC
RNAcentral lists this ribosomal RNA (440 nucleotides) under uncultured bacterium. RNAcentral describes it as "partial 16S ribosomal RNA". It matches the Rfam family "Bacterial small subunit ribosomal RNA", at positions 338 to 795 of the family's 1533-position model. The record is from RNAcentral.